RNAcentral lists this ribosomal RNA (805 nucleotides) under Apharyngostrigea sp. FC_2. RNAcentral describes it as "partial large subunit ribosomal RNA". It matches the Rfam family "Eukaryotic large subunit ribosomal RNA", at positions 128 to 620 of the family's 3401-position model. The record is from RNAcentral. Lineage: Eukaryota; Metazoa; Platyhelminthes; Trematoda; Diplostomida; Strigeidae.
UUUGACUGCUAGGCAAUGUGGUGUUCAGGUCGUCUUUUGGCAUUACUGCUCCAUCCUAAGUCCAGCACUGAGUAUGGCAACUGGAAUGGCCCAGGGAGGGUGAAAGGCCCGUGGGGGUGGAGAUCAAGUCGGACGGUAUUGCCCUUAGUCGACCUUGGAGUCGGGUUGUUUGUGAAUGCAGCCCAAAGCGGGUGGUAAACUCCAUCCAAGGCUAAAUACUAGCACGAGUCCGAUAGCGAACAAGUACCGUGAGGGAAAGUUGAAAAGUACUUUGAAGAGAGAGUAAACAGUGCGUGAAACCGCUCAGAGGUAAACGGGUGGAGUUGAACUGUAAGCUCCGGGAAUUCAGCUGGUGAGUGUGUCAUGGGCUUGGUCAUUUUCGGCCGGCCUCUGGAGUCCGCUUAGCUGCGGGUCCUUGCUUCUUCGGGAGUAGGGAUGUGCGUUGCGCUUGUCAAGUGCUGUGCGCUCUGGAGGUUGCCGGGCUGGCUCGCCGGUGCACUUUCUCGGAGUGGUCACCACGACCGGCGUUGUUGUCUUGCUGCUGUGGUCGAACCGGCUGGGUUUGGUCCUUGUGGCUGAACUUGGUCGGGAUGGCAGGUAGCUCAUUGGUUGGCUUGUCCAGUCUUUGGGUGUAAUCAGCUGUCUGCAGUGGUAUUGUGCAAUGCGUCGGAGACUGCGGCUUUAGGUAUUUGCUUUCGUGCCGUUGGCUGGCAGUGUUGGGUUUGACUGGCGUGUUACCUGCUUCGGUGGGUCCGUCGGUAGCUCAGUGCUGUUCGGUUAGCGGUGGCUUAAGUGAUAUCGUACA